This 523-nucleotide ribosomal RNA is filed under the name uncultured bacterium. RNAcentral's name for it is "bacterial SSU rRNA". It matches the Rfam family "Bacterial small subunit ribosomal RNA", at positions 8 to 524 of the family's 1533-position model. The record is from RNAcentral.
AGAGUUUGAUCAUGGCUCAGAUUGAACGCUGGCGGCAUGCCUUACACAUGCAAGCCGAACGGCAGCAUAGGAGCUUGCUCCUGAUGGCGAGUGGCGAACGGGUGAGUAAUAUAUCGGAACGUGCCCUAGAGUGGGGGAUAACUAGUCGAAAGACUAGCUAAUACCGCAUACGAUCUACGGAUGAAAGUGGGGGAUCGCAAGACCUCAUGCUCCUGGAGCGGCCGAUAUCUGAUUAGCUAGUUGGUGGGGUAAAAGCCUACCAAGGCAACGAUCAGUAGCUGGUCUGAGAGGACGACCAGCCACACUGGGACUGAGACACGGCCCAGACUCCUACGGGAGGCGGCAGUGGGGAAUUUUGGACAAUGGGGGCAACCCUGAUCCAGCAAUGCCGCGUGAGUGAAGAAGGCCUUCGGGUUGUAAAGCUCUUUUGUCAGGGAAGAAACGGUAGUAGCGAAUAACUAUUACUAAUGACGGUACCUGAAGAAUAAGCACCGGCUAACUACGUGCCAGCAGCCGCGGUAAU